This 460-nucleotide ribosomal RNA is filed under the name uncultured bacterium. RNAcentral describes it as "partial 16S ribosomal RNA". It matches the Rfam family "Bacterial small subunit ribosomal RNA", at positions 338 to 795 of the family's 1533-position model. The record is from RNAcentral.
CCUACGGGUGGCAGCAGUGGGGAAUAUUGGUCAAUGGGCGCGAGCCUGACCCAGCCAAGUAGCGUGAAGGAUGACUGCCCUACGGUUUGUAAACUUCUUUUAUAAAGGAAUAAAGUGAGACACGUGUGCCUUUUUGUAUGUACUUUAUUAAUAAUGAUCGGCUAACUCCGUGCCAUCAGCCGCGGUGAUACGGAGGAUCCGAGCGUUAUCCGGAUUUAUUGGGUUUAAAGGGAGCGUAGAUGGGUUGGUAAGUCAGUUGUGAAAGUCUGCGGCUCAACCGUAAAAUUGCAAUUGAUACUGGCAGUCUUGAGUACAGUUGAGGUAGGCGGAAUUCGUGGUGUAGCGGUGAAAUGCUUAGAUAUCACGAAGAACCCCGAUUGCGAAGGCAGCUUACUAAACUGCCACUGACAGUGAUGCUCGAAAGUGUGGGGAUCAAACAGGAUUAGAUACCCCAGUAGUC